UCCCUGGAGUCUAUAAGUAGGGAUGUG
Molecule: non-coding RNA, 27 nt
Filed under: Homo sapiens (human)
Lineage: Eukaryota; Metazoa; Chordata; Mammalia; Primates; Hominidae
Source: RNAcentral